This 301-nucleotide ribosomal RNA is filed under the name uncultured bacterium. RNAcentral's name for it is "partial 16S ribosomal RNA". It matches the Rfam family "Bacterial small subunit ribosomal RNA", at positions 509 to 807 of the family's 1533-position model. The record is from RNAcentral.
CAGUAGCCGCGGUAACACGAAGGGUGCAAGCGUUAAUCGGAUUUACUGGGCGUAAAGCGUGCGUAGGCGGCUUCUUAAGUCGGAUGUGAAAUCCCUGAGCUUAACUUAGGAAUUGCAUUCGAUACUGGGAAGCUAGAGUAUGGGAGAGGAUGGUAGAAUUCCAGGUGUAGCGGUGAAAUGCGUAGAGAUCUGGAGGAAUACCGAUGGCGAAGGCAGCCAUCUGGCCUAAUACUGACGCUGAGGUACGAAAGCAUGGGGAGCAAACAGGAUUAGAUACCCGAGUAGUCCCUGUCUCUUAUAC